This 1408-nucleotide ribosomal RNA is filed under the name Enterococcus durans. Its description in RNAcentral is "bacterial SSU rRNA". It matches the Rfam family "Bacterial small subunit ribosomal RNA". The record is from RNAcentral. Lineage: Bacteria; Bacillati; Bacillota; Bacilli; Lactobacillales; Enterococcaceae.
GUCGUACGCUUCUUUUUCCCCGGAGCUUGCUCCACCGGAAAAAGAAGAGUGGCGAACGGGUGAGUAACACGUGGGUAACCUGCCCAUCAGAAGGGGAUAACACUUGGAAACAGGUGCUAAUACCGUAUAACAAUCGAAACCGCAUGGUUUUGAUUUGAAAGGCGCUUUCGGGUGUCGCUGAUGGAUGGACCCGCGGUGCAUUAGCUAGUUGGUGAGGUAACGGCUCACCAAGGCCACGAUGCAUAGCCGACCUGAGAGGGUGAUCGGCCACAUUGGGACUGAGACACGGCCCAAACUCCUACGGGAGGCAGCAGUAGGGAAUCUUCGGCAAUGGACGAAAGUCUGACCGAGCAACGCCGCGUGAGUGAAGAAGGUUUUCGGAUCGUAAAACUCUGUUGUUAGAGAAGAACAAGGAUGAGAGUAACUGUUCAUCCCUUGACGGUAUCUAACCAGAAAGCCACGGCUAACUACGUGCCAGCAGCCGCGGUAAUACGUAGGUGGCAAGCGUUGUCCGGAUUUAUUGGGCGUAAAGCGAGCGCAGGCGGUUUCUUAAGUCUGAUGUGAAAGCCCCCGGCUCAACCGGGGAGGGUCAUUGGAAACUGGGAGACUUGAGUGCAGAAGAGGAGAGUGGAAUUCCAUGUGUAGCGGUGAAAUGCGUAGAUAUAUGGAGGAACACCAGUGGCGAAGGCGGCUCUCUGGUCUGUAACUGACGCUGAGGCUCGAAAGCGUGGGGAGCAAACAGGAUUAGAUACCCUGGUAGUCCACGCCGUAAACGAUGAGUGCUAAGUGUUGGAGGGUUUCCGCCCUUCAGUGCUGCAGCUAACGCAUUAAGCACUCCGCCUGGGGAGUACGACCGCAAGGUUGAAACUCAAAGGAAUUGACGGGGGCCCGCACAAGCGGUGGAGCAUGUGGUUUAAUUCGAAGCAACGCGAAGAACCUUACCAGGUCUUGACAUCCUUUGACCACUCUAGAGAUAGAGCUUCCCCUUCGGGGGCAAAGUGACAGGUGGUGCAUGGUUGUCGUCAGCUCGUGUCGUGAGAUGUUGGGUUAAGUCCCGCAACGAGCGCAACCCUUAUUGUUAGUUGCCAUCAUUUAGUUGGGCACUCUAGCAAGACUGCCGGUGACAAACCGGAGGAAGGUGGGGAUGACGUCAAAUCAUCAUGCCCCUUAUGACCUGGGCUACACACGUGCUACAAUGGGAAGUACAACGAGUCGCGAAGUCGCGAGGCUAAGCUAAUCUCUUAAAGCUUCUCUCAGUUCGGAUUGUAGGCUGCAACUCGCCUACAUGAAGCCGGAAUCGCUAGUAAUCGCGGAUCAGCACGCCGCGGUGAAUACGUUCCCGGGCCUUGUACACACCGCCCGUCACACCACGAGAGUUUGUAACACCCGAAGUCGGUGAGGUAACCUU